GGCGAUGUAGCUCAGCCUGGUUAGAGCAAGUGCUUCAUAAGCACUGGGUCAGUGGUUCGAGUCCACUCAUCGCCA
This 75-nucleotide transfer RNA is filed under the name Candidatus Omnitrophica bacterium CG1_02_49_16. RNAcentral describes it as "tRNA-Met". It matches the Rfam family "tRNA". From Rfam's summary of the family: Transfer RNA (tRNA) molecules are approximately 80 nucleotides in length. Their secondary structure includes four short double-helical elements and three loops (D, anti-codon, and T loops). The record is from RNAcentral. Lineage: Bacteria; Pseudomonadati; Candidatus Omnitrophota. RNAcentral also lists the same sequence under 1 other name.